CCUUUUGUAUAAUGGGUCAGCGACUUAUAUUCUGUAGCAAGGUUAACCGAAUAGGGGAGCCGAAGGGAAACCGAGUCUUAACUGGGCGUUAAGUUGCAGGGUAUAGACCCGAAACCCGGUGAUCUAGCCAUGGGCAGGUUGAAGGUUGGGUAACACUAACUGGAGGACCGAACCGACUAAUGUUGAAAAAUUAGCGGAUGACUUGUGGCUGGGGGUGAAAGGCCAAUCAAACCGGGAGAUAGCUGGUUCUCCCCGAAAGCUAUUUAGGUAGCGCCUCGUGAAUUCAUCUCCGGGGGUAGAGCACUGUUUCGGCAAGGGGGUCAUCCCGACUUACCAACCCGAUGCAAACUGCGAAUACCGGAGAAUGUUAUCACGGGAGACACACGGCGGGUGCUAACGUCCGUCGUGAAGAGGGAAACAACCCAGACCGCCAGCUAAGGUCCCAAAGUCAUGGUUAAGUGGGAAACGAUGUGGGAAGGCCCAGACAGCCAGGAUGUUGGCUUAGAAGCAGCCAUCAUUUAAAGAAAGCGUAAUAGCUCACUGGUCGAGUCGGCCUGCGCGGAAGAUGUAACGGGGCUAAACCAUGCACCGAAGCUGCGGCAGCGACACUAUGUGUUGUUGGGUAGGGGAGCGUUCUGUAAGCCUGUGAAGGUGUGCUGUGAGGCAUGCUGGAGGUAUCAGAAGUGCGAAUGCUGACAUAAGUAACGAUAAAGCGGGUGAAAAGCCCGCUCGCCGGAAGACCAAGGGUUCCUGUCCAACGUUAAUCGGGGCAGGGUGAGUCGACCCCUAAGGCGAGGCCGAAAGGCGUAGUCGAUGGGAAACAGGUUAAUAUUCCUGUACUUGGUGUUACUGCGAAGGGGGGACGGAGAAGGCUAUGUUGGCCGGGCGACGGUUGUCCCGGUUUAAGCGUGUAGGCUGGUUUUCCAGGCAAAUCCGGAAAAUCAAGGCUGAGGCGUGAUGACGAGGCACUACGGUGCUGAAGCAACAAAUGCCCUGCUUCCAGGAAAAGCCUCUAAGCAUCAGGUAACAUCAAAUCGUACCCCAAACCGACACAGGUGGUCAGGUAGAGAAUACCAAGGCGCUUGAGAGAACUCGGGUGAAGGAACUAGGCAAAAUGGUGCCGUAACUUCGGGAGAAGGCACGCUGAUAUGUAGGUGAGGUCCCUCGCGGAUGGAGCUGAAAUCAGUCGAAGAUACCAGCUGGCUGCAACUGUUUAUUAAAAACACAGCACUGUGCAAACACGAAAGUGGACGUAUACGGUGUGACGCCUGCCCGGUGCCGGAAGGUUAAUUGAUGGGGUUAGCGCAAGCGAAGCUCUUGAUCGAAGCCCCGGUAAACGGCGGCCGUAACUAUAACGGUCCUAAGGUAGCGAAAUUCCUUGUCGGGUAAGUUCCGACCUGCACGAAUGGCGUAAUGAUGGCCAGGCUGUCUCCACCCGAGACUCAGUGAAAUUGAACUCGCUGUGAAGAUGCAGUGUACCCGCGGCAAGACGGAAAGACCCCGUGAACCUUUACUAUAGCUUGACACUGAACAUUGAGCCUUGAUGUGUAGGAUAGGUGGGAGGCUUAGAAGUGUGGACGCCAGUCUGCAUGGAGCCGACCUUGAAAUACCACCCUUUAAUGUUUGAUGUUCUAACGUUGACCCGUAAUCCGGGUUGCGGACAGUGUCUGGUGGGUAGUUUGACUGGGGCGGUCUCCUCCUAAAGAGUAACGGAGGAGCACGAAGGUUGGCUAAUCCUGGUCGGACAUCAGGAGGUUAGUGCAAUGGCAUAAGCCAGCUUGACUGCGAGCGUGACGGCGCGAGCAGGUGCGAAAGCAGGUCAUAGUGAUCCGGUGGUUCUGAAUGGAAGGGCCAUCGCUCAACGGAUAAAAGGUACUCCGGGGAUAACAGGCUGAUACCGCCCAAGAGUUCAUAUCGACGGCGGUGUUUGGCACCUCGAUGUCGGCUCAUCACAUCCUGGGGCUGAAGUAGGUCCCAAGGGUAUGGCUGUUCGCCAUUUAAAGUGGUACGCGAGCUGGGUUUAGAACGUCGUGAGACAGUUCGGUCCCUAUCUGCCGUGGGCGCUGGAGAACUGAGGGGGGCUGCUCCUAGUACGAGAGGACCGGAGUGGACGCAUCACUGGUGUUCGGGUUGUCAUGCCAAUGGCACUGCCCGGUAGCUAAAUGCGGAAGAGAUAAGUGCUGAAAGCAUCUAAGCACGAAACUUGCC
This 2208-nucleotide ribosomal RNA is filed under the name Escherichia coli. Its description in RNAcentral is "partial 23S ribosomal RNA". It matches the Rfam family "Bacterial large subunit ribosomal RNA", at positions 604 to 2798 of the family's 2925-position model. Lineage: Bacteria; Pseudomonadati; Pseudomonadota; Gammaproteobacteria; Enterobacterales; Enterobacteriaceae. The record is from RNAcentral.